UACGUAGGGGGCGAGCGUUGUCCGGAUUCAUUGGGCGUAAAGAGCUCGUAGGCGGUUUGGUAAGUCGGGUGUGAAAACCCCAGGCUCAACCUGGGGACGCCACCUGAUACUGCCAUGACCUGAGUCUGGUAGGGGAUCACGGAAUUCCUGGUGUAGCGGUGAAAUGCGCAGAUAUCAGGAGGAACACCGGUGGCGAAGGCGGUGAUCUGGGCCAGUACUGACGCUGAGGAGCGAAAGCGUGGGUAGCAAACAGG
This 254-nucleotide ribosomal RNA is filed under the name uncultured bacterium. Its description in RNAcentral is "partial 16S ribosomal RNA". It matches the Rfam family "Bacterial small subunit ribosomal RNA", at positions 524 to 776 of the family's 1533-position model. The record is from RNAcentral.